UAGCAUGUCGAGGCAUUGCAAUCAAUGGGGAUUUCAUGCAGCCCUCUAAUAUAAGGCAGCAGUAUUGAGGCUGAAUAACUGGGGGAACCAAAAACACGUAUUCCGACAAGGCCCUGUACACCCAGCUGUGCUUUUACCGGUACAUUUUUGAUGUGGACUAUGCAAUGGAGAAAGUUAUUACUGAUCAAGAGAAAGAAAGCAUGAAGAGGAAGCUGACCAAAAAUGAGACAGAGGUUUACAGAAGGUUGAAGAACACAGUAGACAGAUUUCUGUCCAUGAGCAGCUAUUCUGAAGUAAACCUUGGCAAACUGUUUCAGACCUUCAGUAUAGUGAAAUCUGUGGGAGAUCCCAGUAAUGAAAGACAAUGAUUAAGUGAAAAUGGUGGGAGAAGAGAGGUUUGUUGUCCUUUAAAAAUAAUAAUCUCUCUUUUCUCUUCUGGCUUUCCCAUUCUAAAAUACAAUACUCUGAUUUCAGCAUACAUAAAAUACAGAUGUGUUUUAAUCAUCUUAGUUUCUCACUAGUGGAAAAAAACGUAAAGAUAAAAACAGAAUACAGUGUUUUUCUGGACCACCUGAAUAGUUGAGUUUGUUAUAUAUAUUUGUUGUAUCUAGACCUAUGAGGGAAAAAGGGGUGGGGGAAUUGCUACUUUAAUUGAAUAAUUCCCAGUGAGAGUUGCUGGAAUGUAAGUGAUCCUAGACUUUGCUCCAGGGUAUUUAGUAGAGGUGCUCUCAAGAAGAGAGGUUAGUAGAGGUCUCAGUAGGAGCACUAAUGUUUUGCCUUUUCAUAGUUUAUCUACUUUCCCAUCGUAAACAUACCAAUUAAAAACAAUACUAAACCUAAAAGCCUCCUAAUGUCCCAAUACCUUCAUCUGAUGGGAGCUUUGCUUUUAAGAUUUAUAUAUAAUGGUACUGAACAAAGGAUGGCAAUUUUAUGACUUGUAGUUCCCAAAAAUAGAAAACCAUUUUUUCUGUUUUAAAUGUUAUUUCUUUGUACUUAAACAUAAGUUAUGUCUUGCUAUUCUACAGAAAUAAAUAUAAGUAGUGAGCCCACCAAAUAUACAUACCAAGCAAAUAGAUAUCAAUCUUUAUUGUACUGUACACAAAAAACUCAGAUUAUAUAUAAACAGUCAAUGACAAAUAUGUGGGUACAAUGCAGUGUAGCCAAAAAAUAUUAGUGUUAUGUCAUAAAAAGUUAUGGCCAUACUAAAGUUGUAAUAGUUUUGCAAACAAAUCUUAUUGCCUGUUUACUGCCAGUAAAAUGACAAACACAAAUGACAAAAUAAUUACCAUUAAAAUUGUCGGCUCUGGAGGAGGAAAAAUGUAAGGUUCUUUAUACUUUUCAGUAAGUAUUAAAUUCUUUGUUAGUUUUACUGGGUCAUAUUUUUGUUAAUUUUUUGAAACUAUAAAAUGCUUUUAAAAAUGUGUAACACUAUACAAUGUAAAGUUUCAUAUUUCUUGAAGGAAAAAAUAAAGUUUUCUAGUGAAAGAAA
Molecule: non-coding RNA, 1489 nt
Organism: Pelodiscus sinensis (Chinese soft-shelled turtle)
Lineage: Eukaryota; Metazoa; Chordata; Testudines; Trionychidae
Source: RefSeq, a predicted model, not a curated record